This 327-nucleotide ribosomal RNA is filed under the name uncultured eukaryote. Its description in RNAcentral is "partial 18S ribosomal RNA". It matches the Rfam family "Eukaryotic small subunit ribosomal RNA", at positions 1470 to 1796 of the family's 1831-position model. The record is from RNAcentral.
CCCUUAGAUGUUCUGGGCCGCACGCGCGCUACACUGAUUCAUGCAACAAGUUUUGUCCUUGGCUGAUAGGCCUGGGUAAUCUUUGAACGUGAAUCGUGAUGGGGAUAGAUGAUUGCAAUUAUUCAUCUUCAACGAGGAAUUCCUAGUAAACGCAAGUCAUCAGCUUGCAUUGAUUACGUCCCUGCCCUUUGUACACACCGCCCGUCGCACCUACCGAUUGAAUGGUCCGGUGAAAUCUUCGGAUCUGAGAGAUGUCUGAUUAAUUUCGGACGCCUUUUGGAAAAGUUGCUUAAACCUUAUCAUUUAGAGGAAGGUGAAGUCGUANCA